RNAcentral lists this ribosomal RNA (253 nucleotides) under uncultured bacterium. Its description in RNAcentral is "partial 16S ribosomal RNA". It matches the Rfam family "Bacterial small subunit ribosomal RNA", at positions 524 to 776 of the family's 1533-position model. The record is from RNAcentral.
UACGGAGGGUGCGAGCGUUGUCCGGAAUCACUGGGCGUAAAGGGCGCGUAGGCGGCGCGGGCAGUCAACGGUGAAAGCUUGGGGCUCAACCCCGAGUCGGCCGUCGAUACUCCCGUGCUGGAGCACUGUAGAGGCAGGUGGAAUUCCGGGUGUAGCGGUGGAAUGCGUAGAGAUCAGGAGGAACACCGGUGGCGAAGGCGGCCUACUGGGCCAGCACUGACGCUGAGGCGCGAAAGCUCGGGGAGCGAACGGG